AUGUCAACAUCCAAAAGAUCCAAACGGGGGCGCUGGCCUGAGCCUGUCCCAGUUUCCCUCCGCGACCUCACCCAUCUUCAUUCCCUGGGGCCACCUGUGACCGGGCACUGCCCAGCCUCCAACCUUCACCCCUGUACAGGCCUCGGGCCAGAAAGGACACAUACCACACUCAACACACAUUCACAUUCACACACUCACCACCACACUCACCACACUACACUCAACACUCUUACAUUGACACACUCACACCACACUCAACACACUCACAUUCACACACUCACAUUCACACUCACACCACACACACACCAUACUCAACACACUUAUACACAUUCACACAUACCACACUCAACACACAUUCUCACCACACUCACCACACUUACACUCACACACACCACACUCAACACUCACAUUCCCACUCACCACACACACACCACACUCAACACUCUUACAUUCACACACUCACACCACACUCAACAUUUACAUUCACACUCACACCACACUCAACACUCACCACACUCACUACAAGCCACAUUCACACACAUCAUGCUCAACACACUCACCAGUCACACCCUCACCACACUCACUACACUAAACAUACCCCCACCACACUCACACACAAAACACACCACACACUCCACGUUCACACUCACCCACACCACAUUCACACAUAGCACAUUCAACACACCACUCAACGCACAUACCACACACCACACUCACACACACUUGCACUACACUCAGCACACCACAUUCACACCCUUACACCAUGCUUAUACUAUGCACAUUUGCACACUCACAUCACACCCAUCACACUCAACACACUCAACACACACACAUUCAUACCCUCACACCACACUUACACUAGACACAUUCACACACUCACAUGACACCCAUCACUCAACACACUCAACACAUUUACACACAUUCACACACUCACACCACUCAACACACACGCCACAUGCCAGUCACACACAUAUCACACUCAACACCACAGUCACACCCUCACCACACUCAUCACUGUACCACCACCACACUCACACAAAACACACCACACACCACACUCACACUACACUCAGCACACCACAUUCACACCCUCACACCACACUCACCACACUAUACACAUUCACACAUCACACCCAUCACUCACCACACUCAACACACUCACACACUCACACCACACUCAACACACACACCAUACUCAACACACAUACACAUUCACACUCACACCACACCCAUCACACUCACCACACCUCAACACACACAUUCACACUCACACCACACUCAACACAUUUACACACAUUCACACACUCACACCACACUCAACACACUCACACACCACAUGCCACAUUCACACACACCACACUCAACACACACCCACAUCACACUGACAGACACACAGACAUGACACCCAUGGAAGCCCCAGGGCCUGUGAAUGGCAGACACACGCAAAGGAGCGGGCGUGCCAUGUCUCCCUGGUGCGGGGUCGUGCAGGUGGGGGAUUCGACUCUGAGGGGCUUUCUGCCUCCACAGCCAGACACCAGCCUCACCCCAGAGCUGCUCUGCCUUUCUAGGAAAGCAGCAGCCACGCCCCCAAACACAAGCCCUGGAUGCGACCUGGCUGCUGCGUGCUGGGAGCCAGUGGGCUUUAGCUUCCUCUCCAGAGGAGCUGACUUCUAGACCCGGGCCAGGGCCUGGAAGGAGGUGUGAGCCAGAUACAGGGAAACAGGCCUGGGCGGAGACCUCGCAGGCCUGCAAAGGUGCAGGCAGGGGCCCCAAAGCAGGAGACACCCCAUAAAAAUCCCACUCAGUCGUGCACCUGCCAAAUCCUCACUCCCAACAUCCCCAGCACUCACUCAGCACCUCCACAGCCUGCAGGCCACAAGAGAUCAGCUCAGCAGAGACGCGCUGCCCGGGGAGCCCCUGGCGGCCAGGACGUCCCCAGCUCACAGCCCCUGCCCUGCUACUGGUCCCCAGCUGCGCUCACAGCUGUGCCUCGUACUGCAUAGAAAUGGAGCCCCGACCUGCCCAGAGUCACUUGCUCCACACGUGUGUGGGGAAUGGCCGUCCUGGGGCCCCCACCCUGCUCUGCCUUCUGUGUGAACCCACGCGCUUUGCCAAGUUCAGGCCAGAGCUUUCCUUUAAAUCCAGGACCCCAACUCGCAGGCAGAGACUGGCAAUUCUAUGCAAAGCCACCUUAAGAUCCCUGAUUCCGGGGAGGGAGGGGAGAACCCGGGAUGUGAAGCUGACAGCUUCACCUGAUGAUGCAUUUGCAGGAAGCCACCCCAGAACCCCCGGGCCACCGCAGACAGCGAUCAACCAUAAACAAGGGAAGUUGAGUGGCCGUCCGGGCAGCAGCUGAAACGUGCAGGCUCGCAUAAACACACCUCCCUGAAAGUGUUUCCUGCAAAACCACCCAAGCACAGGACGCUCUGGCUCCAGGACACUGCCCAGCACCAGCUGAGUCUCACAGGAAACUGUUACCGCUUUGUGCAAGUUUUCAGAGUCACUCACGUAACAAACGUUUCUCAAAAGCCUGCCAUGGCCAGGACCGUGCUCCAGGCGCAGUCCUGCGGCAGCGGUGAGGCUCACAGACCCAGGUCUCACAGGGCUACUGUGUGAGAGGGGACCGUGACAGUGCGCUGGGGAGGGCACUGCUGGUGGACGUCUCCUCCCGGCAACCAGCGAAGGGCCCGGCUCCUGCCUCCACCGAGGCCCUUGCAGAGUGGGCGCUUCAGUAAAGAGACAAUUGAAUCAAUAAAGCUGAAUCCAUGAAGAAGUAAGUAAAAAAUAAGCUUCGUAGAAACAAUGUGCUAGAUGUGAACAGAGUAACUCGGAUACAGAUCAUCAGAGCACAGCUGCAGCCCAGAGGCGCCGGCGACCCCAGCCCUGCACGAGACUCGCUUUCUAUUCUCACACGGACUCUCUCUCAAGGGCCUCCUCCACUCCUCGGCAGGGUUGCUGAUUUAAUAAAAACACACGAUGCUCAGUUAAAUCUGAAUUUCAGGUAAACCAAUAAUUUUUUAGUCUAAGUAUGUCCCAUGCAUUAUUUGGGAUGUACUUAUAUUUAAAAUAUUCAUUGUUUGUCUGGAAAUCAAAAUAUAACUGGGCAUCAUGCGUCUUACCUGGCAACUCCAUUUCCUAGCAAGGUCAAGAGACACUAGGCUGGUGACCGUAGGANNNNNNNNNNNNNNNNNNNNNNNNNUUAGAACAUGCUAGAAU
Molecule: long non-coding RNA, 3216 nt
Organism: Aotus nancymaae (Ma's night monkey)
Lineage: Eukaryota; Metazoa; Chordata; Mammalia; Primates; Aotidae
Source: Ensembl